UACGGAAGGUCCGGGCGUUAUCCGGAUUUAUUGGGUUUAAAGGGAGCGUAGGCCGGCUUUUAAGUCAGCUGUGAAAGUCCGCGGCUCAACCGUGGAAUUGCAGUUGAAACUGGAGGCCUUGAGUGGGCGAGAAGUAUGCGGAAUGCGUGGUGUAGCGGUGAAAUGCAUAGAUAUCGCGCAGAACUCCGAUUGCGAAGGCAGCAUACCGGUGCACAACUGACGCUCAGGCACGAAAGCGUGGGUAUCGAACAGG
Molecule: ribosomal RNA, 253 nt
Filed under: uncultured Prevotellaceae bacterium
Lineage: Bacteria; Pseudomonadati; Bacteroidota; Bacteroidia; Bacteroidales; Prevotellaceae
Description: partial 16S ribosomal RNA
Rfam family: Bacterial small subunit ribosomal RNA
Source: RNAcentral